GAUGAACGCUGGCGGCGUGCUUAACACAUGCAAGUCGAACGGAAAGGCCUCUGCUUGCAGGGGUACUCGAGUGGCGAACGGGUGAGUAACACGUGGGUGAUCUGCCCUGCACUUCGGGAUAAGCCUGGGAAACUGGGUCUGAUACCGGAUAGGACAAUGGUUUGGAUGCUGUUGUGGAAAGUUUUUCGGUGUGGGAUGAGCUCGCGGCCUAUCAGCUUGUUGGUGGGGUAAUGGCCUACCAAGGCGUCGACGGGUAGCCGGCCUGAGAGGGUGUACGGCCACAUUGGGACUGAGAUACGGCCCAGACUCCUACGGGAGGCAGCAGUGGGGAAUAUUGCACAAUGGGCGCAGGCCUGAUGCAGCGACGCCGCGUGGGGGAUGACGGCCUUCGGGUUGUAAACUCCUUUCGCUAGGGACGAAGCGUUUUUGUGACGGUACCUGGAGAAGAAGCACCGGCUAACUACGUG
Molecule: ribosomal RNA, 467 nt
Filed under: uncultured bacterium
Lineage: Bacteria
Description: partial 16S ribosomal RNA
Rfam family: Bacterial small subunit ribosomal RNA
Source: RNAcentral